RNAcentral lists this long non-coding RNA (1855 nucleotides) under Homo sapiens (human). Its description in RNAcentral is "HSALNT0402216". Lineage: Eukaryota; Metazoa; Chordata; Mammalia; Primates; Hominidae. The record is from RNAcentral.
CCGCCCGCCCCUUUCCACAAAUGCCACCAAUCAAGCCAUUUCUUUCUCAAGGGGAACUGAGUGAUUUGCAGGGUUUGGGGAAGGUUGCCUGUGCCUAAAGCAUCAUUCCGUCCCACUCUGGUAAGAUUCAUAACUAGCAUGAUUUGGGGGCUUAUCCUAGUGGGAGACUUUGAGAAGGAAAUCAACGUCUUCAAGGGGAAGCAGGUGGAAACACCUUGAGAUAGAUAUCUCCCCAGUCAGGCCAGGCUGGGCAGGGGGAGGCAGAAACAGAAAACAGAAUGAGUGUUCUGGGCAUCCUGCAGUGUGGGGGUCUGUAGUGCCAGCACCAAAGGGGCAACUGAGCUCAGGGCAGAGACAGGAGAACAGCAUCACGUAUUAUUGAUCACGUUACUUUGAAAAUUAUUUUAGAAGUUAGUGUUGUUCUUUUUAUUAUUAUUAGCAAUAUGGAAGGCACUUAAGGACAAAAUUUACUCAGCAACUUUUAGCAGAUAUUUAUUAAACACCGCAACGUACCAAGCAAUGAACAGAAUGAACAAGAAUCCCUGCCUUUAUGGAGUUUGCAAUCUCAUGGAGAUAAGUAACAGCCACCACGUGGCACUGAGAACACGCCAGCCACUGUGCUGAACACGUUUUACACAUUAAUUCAUGAAUCCUUCACAUAACACUGACUCAGGAUGGGCAACAGCUCAUCUCUGCUUGGUAAGGUCUACAGCUUCAACUGAGGACUUUAAUCCUGAGGGUAACUCAAGAGCAGGAGCAGGAAACAUCAGCGGCCAUCCUCACUCCUGCAUGUCUGGCCAUUGGUGCUGCCUGUCAGGUGCUGUGCACGGAGCUCGACUAUCCUGAAUCCACCAUGAUUCGACCUCAUGUCAGUCCUUUGGCUGCCAGCCCAGUUCAACUCCAAGCUGAUGACCAGUGUCGACCGCCAGUCAUUCUGAACAUUUGACCAGUUGAGCUUUCAAAUGAUGGCAGUCCUGGCUGACAUUUUGGGUGAACAAUAUGAGAGACUGACUGGUUGAGCCCUUCCCAAAUUUCUGACCCACAACAUUGUGAGAAAAAUAAUCUUAAGCCUCUCAGUUUGGGGACAAUUUGUUACUCAGCAAUAGAAAUGAAAAUAUGAUCUCAGUAGGACCAUGUGACUUGCAGCAACCAGGGUGACAAUGAACGUCCCUGCAGAUACCCGAGGAGGGGACGCAUGAAGGUUCCCUAGGUGCCCUGUAAAUCUACAGCUUCCUGCUUUCCUCUGCCACAAACACAUGACACGCUGUACCUCUACACCUAAUCUUUUGGUUUGGAAAGGAACGGAAGGUGAUAGAAAUCUGAAAGUUGCGACUGAGGUUUACCAUCCUAAACACAUUAUUUCAGGAGACUAACUCCAAGAUGAUUGGCAUGAACUAGAAUUUUUCUCCCCUUUCUUAUAAAGCAAAUGGGACAGCUCAGGAGGAAGAUCGGAGCAGUUAUAUACAAAAAAUUAACACACAAAUGAAGCAACCACGUGGCCUCUGUGUAUAUGGAGAAAAGUGUGAGCAAAUGUGGGGCCCUAAUACAGAAUGUCAGCCAGGAAGACGAGGAAGGCAGACCUCCCUAGAACAGUGGUACAAGACAUUGGUGGUCAUCUUAACAGAUGUGCACUGACUGAUAUCCUUCAGAAUAGGAAGGAAAUGUGAGAUCUUAAGAAGGAAUUCUAGGGGAGGUCUCAGCUUUACCCCCUGUGACUUGCACUUGGUCAGUAUACAACUUAUUCUUCCCACCAGAGUGAUAGAAAGAAAAAAAGAAACUGAGUUCUGUAUGUUGAGAAAUAUCAUCUUGGCCUUUAAAUUAUUUUAAAAUUAUAGCAACAUGAGUCUUCCUGAAA